UUUCGCAAUGCCCGAAAGGGUGACGAUGCGACGCCGCGUGGAGGAUGAAGGCCUUCGGGUUGUAAACUCCUGUCAGGGCAAAAGAAGGGGAGGGGAGGAAACUCCCUGACCUUGACUCAGCCCAAAGGAAGUCCCGGCUAACUCCGUGCCAGCAGCAGCGGUAAGACGGAGAGGACGAGCGUUGUUCGGAAUCACUGGGCGUAAAGAGCGCGUAGGCGGGUCCGUAUGUCAGGGGUGAAAGCCUCCGGCCCAACCGGAGAACUGCCUCUGAAACUGCGGUCCUCGAGUGAAGCAGGGGGGAGUGGAACUCUCGGUGGAGCGGUGAAAUGCGUUGAUAUCGAGGGGAACGUCGGCGGCGAAGGCGACUCCCUAUGCUUCUACUGACGCUGAGGUGCGAAAGCCAGGGGAGCGAACGGGAUUAGAUACCCCGGUAGUCCUGGCCCUAAACGGUGGGCACUAAGUAGAGGGGUUUUAAUCUC
Molecule: ribosomal RNA, 479 nt
Filed under: uncultured bacterium
Lineage: Bacteria
Description: bacterial SSU rRNA
Rfam family: Bacterial small subunit ribosomal RNA
Source: RNAcentral